Molecule: ribosomal RNA, 1337 nt
Filed under: uncultured soil bacterium
Lineage: Bacteria
Description: bacterial SSU rRNA
Rfam family: Bacterial small subunit ribosomal RNA
Source: RNAcentral
GACGAACGCUGGCGGCGUGCUUAACACAUGCAAGUCGAACGGAAAGGCCCUUCGGGGUACUCGAGUGGCGAACGGGUGAGUAACACGUGGGUGAUCUGCCCUGCACUCUGGGAUAAGCCUGGGAAACUGGGUCUAAUACCGGAUAGGACCACACACUUCAUGGUGAGUGGUGCAAAGCUUUUGCGGUGUGGGAUGAGCCCGCGGCCUAUCAGCUUGUUGGUGGGGUAAUGGCCCACCAAGGCGACGACGGGUAGCCGGCCUGAGAGGGUGACCGGCCACACUGGGACUGAGAUACGGCCCAGACUCCUACGGGAGGCAGCAGUGGGGAAUAUUGCACAAUGGGCGCAAGCCUGAUGCAGCGACGCCGCGUGAGGGAUGACGGCCUUCGGGUUGUAAGCCUCUUUCAGUAGGGACGAAGCGAAAGUGACGGUACCUACAGAAGAAGGACCGGCCAACUACGUGCCAGCAGCCGCGGUAAUACGUAGGGUCCGAGCGUUGUCCGGAAUUACUGGGCGUAAAGAGCUCGUAGGUGGUUUGUCGCGUUGUUCGUGAAAACUCACAGCUUAACUGUGGGCGUGCGGGCGAUACGGGCAGACUAGAGUACUGCAGGGGAGACUGGAAUUCCUGGUGUAGCGGUGGAAUGCGCAGAUAUCAGGAGGAACACCGGUGGCGAAGGCGGGUCUCUGGGCAGUAACUGACGCUGAGGAGCGAAAGCGUGGGUAGCGAACAGGAUUAGAUACCCUGGUAGUCCACGCCGUAAACGGUGGGUACUAGGUGUGGGUUUCCUUCCUUGGGAUCCGUGCCGUAGCUAACGCAUUAAGUACCCCGCCUGGGGAGUACGGUCGCAAGACUAAAACUCAAAGGAAUUGACGGGGGCCCGCACAAGCGGCGGAGCAUGUGGAUUAAUUCGAUGCAACGCGAAGAACCUUACCUGGGUUUGACAUGCACAGGACGUACCUAGAGAUAGGUAUUCCCUUGUGGCCUGUGUGCAGGUGGUGCAUGGCUGUCGUCAGCUCGUGUCGUGAGAUGUUGGGUUAAGUCCCGCAACGAGCGCAACCCUUGUCCUAUGUUGCCAGCGGGUAAUGCCGGGGACUCGUAGGAGACUGCUGGGGUCAACUCGGAGGAAGGUGGGGAUGACGUCAAGUCAUCAUGCCCCUUAUGUCCAGGGCUUCACACAUGCUACAAUGGCCAGUACAGAGGGCUGCGAAGCCGCAAGGUGGAGCGAAUCCCUUAAAGCUGGUCUCAGUUCGGAUUGGGGUCUGCAACUCGACCCCAUGAAGUCGGAGUCGCUAGUAAUCGCAGAUCAGCAACGCUGCGGUGAAUACGUUCCCGGGCCU